This is a long non-coding RNA of Syngnathoides biaculeatus (alligator pipefish), 2313 nucleotides long. RefSeq lists it as uncharacterized. The transcript is spliced from 5 exons. Lineage: Eukaryota; Metazoa; Chordata; Actinopteri; Syngnathiformes; Syngnathidae. The record is from RefSeq and is a predicted model, not a curated record.
UUCCUUAAAUAAACGUUAACAGAAAAUGUACAUUAUUGCUAAGCACAAAUUCGAAGUGGAAGACAAAGACGAGAUCAGCUUGUGAAUUCGGCAUUUCCGUUAAAGCAAUCAAAGUUUUCCAAGGACGUAGUUAAUACAUAUUUGUAGUAAUAAUUAUUAUAUCCUGUCCCAAGUGGAGGAGUUUAAGUAUCUUGGGGUCUUGUUCACAAGGGAAGGAAGAAUGGAGCGGGAGACAGAUGGAUCAGUGCAACGUCUGCAGUGAUGUGGACUUUGUAUCGGUCCGUUGUGGUGAAGAGGGAGCUAAGUCGAAAGGGGAAGCUCUCAAUUCACCAGUCGAUCUAUGUUCUUACCCUCACCUAUGGGCACAGGCUGUGGGUCAUGACCGAAAGAACAAGAACCCGGAAACAAGCGACCAAAAUGAGUUUCCUCCGCAGGGCGUCCCGUCUCUCCCUUAGUGAUAGGGUGAGAAACUCGGUCAUCCGGGAGGGGCUCAGUGUCGACCCACUGCUCCUCUGCAUUGAGAUGAACCAGAUGAGGUGGCUGAGACAUCUGAUCCAGAUACCUCCCUGACGCCUUCCUGGUGAGGUGUUUCAGGUAUGUCCCACCGAAAAGGGACGGCCCAGGACAUGCUGGAGAGACUAUGUCUCUCAGCUGGCUUGGGAACGCCUCGGGGUCCCUCCGGAAGAGCUGGAAGAAGUGGCUGGAGAAAGGCAAGUCUGGGUAUCCCUGCUGAAGUACAUCCCCCAUGAACCGCCCCGGAGAAGCGAUAGAAAAUAGAUAGAUGGAUUAUUAUACAGACACAUGUGUCUCCCCUAACAUUUGAGCAUCCAGGUAGUUUAGUGUUAAUGGUUCUCGGUUCUGACUUGCGACUGACUGGAGACCAUUUGAGGGCGUAACCUGCCUCUCGCUCGAAGUCCCUUAGGAUAAAGAUCAGCUCACCCACCAGACAAAGAAGAAAAUCCCUCAAUUCUUUCAAAGAAAGAGUGAGGAAUUAGUUUUCUUUCAGACAGAAAACUUUACCUCAAUUCCCCCCUGGCAUCCAGUUGCGCAAAGGUUCAAGGUUAAUGAACGUCGUGGCUUGGAUUUAUUAAUGAAUAACUGUCAAGAAUGCCCUCGAGGAUAAAGCUCAGGCCAAUGACGGAUGAGCGUGAUGAAAACCACAAGCCACAUCGGCUUCAAAAGUAACAUUUUAAUCAGUGUAGUUAAUAAUUGAAGGUCAGCAUGAGUAGCUUCAUUGAGCUCUCGAGUGUGUGUGUGUGUGUGUGUGUGUGCAUGUAAGGGGGGGACAUCAAAAACAAAAAGAGGCCCUUAAAGUUUUAAUUGAAGAUUUCAACUCAAUUCCAUCCAUCCAUAACUUUCGGCUUGUCCCUUUCGGGGUCGCCACAGCGUGUCAUCUCAGAUGAACGCACAUAUGUUUGGCACAAUUUUUACGCCGGAUGCCCUUCCUGACGCAACCCUUCUCAGGGAGUGGAGGCCCCAGUGGAAUCGUUACUACUCCCUCCUUCCCAAGUAUGGUUGCACAAUAUAGUGCAAGAGAGGAUUCUAUAAACAAAUACCUGUAAUCUUGUUUUUCUUUGCAGAAAAGUUAAGAGCUUUUAUAUAAAAAAAAAACAAUAUAAAAAAUUUUGGGGAAACUUUAAACAUAUAUAGAGCACUCACUAGUUAGGCAGCACACAAAAAAAUGGCGUAACCACGAUAAAGAGUAAUUUGGACACAGCCGAUAACUGCUUUUUAAAAUGCAGCCGGGAAGCAAACUGUGAGUUUCGAAAGCUGCUCCCCUCAACUGGAUCCAUUCCAAAAUUCAACCAGUCUCAAUUCAUUUCAUGCAAAGACCCUUCAAAGCACACCCACAUCAUUUACACAUCAUCAUUUUACUGAACAAACAUGACCUAACGCGAUGCGCUUUGAGUUACUGUAUGUCUUUAAUUCAUCACCAAUGAACUGCAAAGUGCGAAAGGAUCGCCAGCCGCUGUCACCUGUCAUGCGCAUUGUCUCCGCAGUUUGACCCAAUCGUUACGUAAACACAAGAGGAAAAAAUGUCGUCGCCGAAAGGUGCCGAAAUUGACCUCGAUGCAGACUUUAAUUAUGACUAUGAAACACUGCGCACAGUCGGCCUGGCCAUUACCGGAGUCAUCGUAUUCCUUUCUAUCCUUUUGCUGACAGGGAGAAAGUUUCGUCACUGUGUAAGUAAGUCACGACACAACGAUGAAGACUGAAGUGAUGUGAACAAGAGACGAUGGGAUGUACUGGUGACUGUCCAGUGGAGUAUCAGAAUAUUUGUAAAAAAUAAAUAAAACAUUUAUGGAACCAUGA